This 910-nucleotide unclassified non-coding RNA is filed under the name Leishmania donovani. Its description in RNAcentral is "gene:LdHU3.18.0510(CDS-product:hypothetical_prote in_conserved)". The record is from RNAcentral. Lineage: Eukaryota; Euglenozoa; Kinetoplastea; Trypanosomatida; Trypanosomatidae.
GGGGUUUGCUUGUGCGAGAAAUCGCCGCCAUCGAAGACCGAUCUGUGCGGCGCAGAGCACGCAGCAGCUGUCAGUGGUGGCUUUCUCUGUUUUUUUUUCUUCGGCAGAGCACUAACUCUGCACUGUGCCCUUCCUCCCUACCGCACGGGUAGGCGAGAAUAUUCUCCGAAAAGGGGUGUGAGAGCGAGCGGCGAAGGGGACGUCGAUGCAGAUGCAGCGCUCGAUGUAUGCCCGUAUGUGCCAUACGGCCUCCGUGAACAUCUCGGCGUCGUUUUCGUCCCCUCCCUGCGCUUCAGCGUCGGCACUCUUCGUGACAGCGCGCCAUUUUGUCCAGGGUGGGCCGCCGGUGCCCAAGAAAGAUAUCGACAAGAAGCGCAAGCGCUACCUGAUUAGCCCGCACACAGAGGAGAUGGAGGCCAAGUACCAAAGUCGCCAACGCGAGUUGCACGAGUACUUUGCGACGCAUGAGCCAAACUGCCCGGAGCCGCUGCCAGAAAACAGCUUCGUCAAGGGACAGUUUGGUAUGCGGAGGCGUUACUACGUUGACCACCGUGGAAAGAUUGACCCGCACGCGCUUGGAAACGCCGUGGACGAGGGCACGAAUGCCAUGCGCAAGUGAGUCACGUGCCAGCUGUUUUGCUGCUGGUUCUCUUGACCUUCUUUGUCCUGCUUUUAUGCAUACCUGUGCGUGCGUGUAUCCUUUUCAGUUUUGGUUUUCCCCGUGUAUUUGGCGGCGUCUCUCUGUCUCUGCUGUUGAGGUGCUAGCCGCUUUAUUCUCGUAGGCGUGGCGUUUCUCUUGCAGAUGCACAACUUCGGAACGCACUUCCGCUCGUGCGAAAAGGAGAGGCUGAAGCUCUCACCCUUUCCUUCUUCCAUGGGAUAAACAGUGCCUCGCUUCCACAGCAGCAGC